AGGGAAACUUCUGAUAAUACUGGAUAAGUUAGUAUAUCGCAUGAUAUGCAAAUGAAAGCUACGGCACUAAAGGAGAGCUUUGCGUCCUAUUAGCUAGUUGGUAAGGUAAGAGCUUACCAAGGCGAUGAUAGGUAGCCGGCCUGAGAGGGUGGACGGCCACAAGGGGGACUGAGAUACGGCCCUUACUCCUACGGGAGGCAGCAGAC
This 206-nucleotide ribosomal RNA is filed under the name uncultured Leptotrichia sp. RNAcentral's name for it is "partial 16S ribosomal RNA". It matches the Rfam family "Bacterial small subunit ribosomal RNA", at positions 150 to 354 of the family's 1533-position model. The record is from RNAcentral. Lineage: Bacteria; Fusobacteriati; Fusobacteriota; Fusobacteriia; Fusobacteriales; Leptotrichiaceae.